Molecule: small nucleolar RNA, 132 nt
Organism: Dasypus novemcinctus (nine-banded armadillo)
Lineage: Eukaryota; Metazoa; Chordata; Mammalia; Cingulata; Dasypodidae
Source: Ensembl
GUGCGUCUCUGACAGCCCUGGAGCAGUUCAUGUCUGCUGCUAAGGUUUCCACUAUAGAUGCAAGAAAAAGAAGUCCUCAUGCUUUCUGUCUGUCUGGUUGUGGCAGCCAAGAUUGAAUGGGGGAGUACAAGG